RNAcentral lists this ribosomal RNA (163 nucleotides) under Renealmia battenbergiana. RNAcentral's name for it is "5.8S ribosomal RNA". It matches the Rfam family "5.8S ribosomal RNA". From Rfam's summary of the family: 5.8S ribosomal RNA (5.8S rRNA) is a component of the large subunit of the eukaryotic ribosome. It is transcribed by RNA polymerase I as part of the 45S precursor that also contains 18S and 28S rRNA. Lineage: Eukaryota; Viridiplantae; Streptophyta; Magnoliopsida; Zingiberales; Zingiberaceae. The record is from RNAcentral.
GAAUGACUCUCGGCAAUGGAUAUCUUGGCUCUUGCAUCGAUGAAGAACGUAGUGAAAUGCGAUACUUGGUGUGAAUUGCAGAAUCUCGUGAACCAUUGAGUCUUUGAACGCAAGUUGUGCCCGAGGCCUUGCGGUCGAGGGCACGCCUGCUUGGGCGUCAUCG